GUUGAAAGCAUAAAUGGAAAUAUAUCCACCUUUCUCCAUUAGAAAAGUGACUGAUCAACACAAGCUUGUGGUAGACUAGAAAUCGCGAAAUCAAGGUGAGAACAUGCGCAGUGUCUAACCUACGUCUGUUUUAAAAAAUAAAAAAUAAAAAAACUAAAAGCACCUGGUUGCUAGUUAGUUCCUAUUCUAUGUUUCAAAAUCUUAGCCAUUGUACGUUCAAAUUUGCUCUUCUUUUUGAGAAUAUUAACAUAUUAUCUAUCAUACGAAUAACUUUCAAAUAUCAUGUAAGAAAUAUCUCACAAUUGCUUACCUCAACCAAUCUCUCUCCAUCCCCUAAGUCUUGUACUCCUUUUGCAAGUCUCAGGGCUGCGAGCAAACGAUGUGUUGCAAAGAUCUUUGAGCUUGAUUAUGGAUGUUUGGAACGUCUUCUGGACAAGAUCCAACGAGUUAGACACAACAAGUACAGAGACCCCUAAUUUUGACAAAGUCUGAAGUUUUGGACGUAGAAUUUCAAGUUUGAAGAAGACACGAGUCACGAAUGUGGGUCUGCAGCUAGCAAUUUGGCAGACGGGCGAGCCUCACUUAGAAAUCAUACAAGAUCUGAAUUCGACUCAGAGAUCUAUCCUGGAAAGGAAGUCUCAACAAGAGCAGCCACCGCACCGACACAGAGUGAAACAAAAGCCACCUACAUCAGUAUCCUCACUGAUCUUUAGCAGUUCUGCCAGCAAAGUAAAUAGGGCCAAUUUCGUCAGCUACCAUCAGAAUUCCAAGGAUGAGAUAGCUAAGAAUAGAGUCCUCUCCAUGAUAAGUUACGGCAAUCAAGUAGGAGUCCAGAGCCUGCACAAGGGCUACCGAAAGCCUCCCACAAAUUGCGUCGUUCAAAAACUCGAAGCAGCAGUAACUCCUUACAUCUGAGAGUCUCACUUGGUCUUCUUGUGGUGGAAUAUACCAAGCGGUCCCUCUGUCCAAAAUUUGGUGGAGCAAUGUCAACAAGUAAAAACCAAACAGCCCUCCAAGUCAGCGAUAUAUUCCCUUCCAUAACGCUGACUGCAAACAUUGCCACAUUGCGCCCACCAGAACUUGCCUUGCUGAUGCUAAAGCAGCCAGAGGAUGCUGACUUGUGCACAGCUGAAUGCUGUGACCCCUCUAACAAUUGAAUGCAUCUAAACCAGCUACUACAUUAAAAUAGGAAGCUUUUGUGAAGCCAAUGGUCACAUUAAUGGGCGUGGAUUCAAUACAAAAGA
RNAcentral lists this long non-coding RNA (1244 nucleotides) under Physcomitrium patens. RNAcentral describes it as "long non-coding RNA (PPAT_LNC008834)". Lineage: Eukaryota; Viridiplantae; Streptophyta; Bryopsida; Funariales; Funariaceae. The record is from RNAcentral.